Molecule: ribosomal RNA, 703 nt
Filed under: Microbacterium oxydans
Lineage: Bacteria; Bacillati; Actinomycetota; Actinomycetes; Micrococcales; Microbacteriaceae
Description: bacterial SSU rRNA
Rfam family: Bacterial small subunit ribosomal RNA
Source: RNAcentral
GCGGUUUGUCGCGUCUGCUGUGAAAUCCCGAGGCUCAACCUCGGGCCUGCAGUGGGUACGGGCAGACUAGAGUGCGGUAGGGGAGAUUGGAAUUCCUGGUGUAGCGGUGGAAUGCGCAGAUAUCAGGAGGAACACCGAUGGCGAAGGCAGAUCUCUGGGCCGUAACUGACGCUGAGGAGCGAAAGGGUGGGGAGCAAACAGGCUUAGAUACCCUGGUAGUCCACCCCGUAAACGUUGGGAACUAGUUGUGGGGUCCAUUCCACGGAUUCCGUGACGCAGCUAACGCAUUAAGUUCCCCGCCUGGGGAGUACGGCCGCAAGGCUAAAACUCAAAGGAAUUGACGGGGACCCGCACAAGCGGCGGAGCAUGCGGAUUAAUUCGAUGCAACGCGAAGAACCUUACCAAGGCUUGACAUAUACGAGAACGGGCCAGAAAUGGUCAACUCUUUGGACACUCGUAAACAGGUGGUGCAUGGUUGUCGUCAGCUCGUGUCGUGAGAUGUUGGGUUAAGUCCCGCAACGAGCGCAACCCUCGUUCUAUGUUGCCAGCACGUAAUGGUGGGAACUCAUGGGAUACUGCCGGGGUCAACUCGGAGGAAGGUGGGGAUGACGUCAAAUCAUCAUGCCCCUUAUGUCUUGGGCUUCACGCAUGCUACAAUGGCCGGUACAAAGGGCUGCAAUACCGUGAGGUGGAGCGAAUCCCA